UUUCGGAACGGGGUGAAAUAACGCGUGAGAAUCUACCUUUAGGACUUCCUAGAAGAUCUGGUACGAUUGCUAAUACCCGAUAUGCCCUUUCGGGGUGAAAAGUUUUUUCGCCUAAAGAUGAGCUCGCGUCCGAUUAGCUAGUAGGUAGUGUAAUGGACUACCUAGGCGAUGAUCGGUAGCUGGUUUGAGAGGACAAUCAGCCACACUGGGACUGAGACACGGCCCAGACUCCUACGGGAGGCAGCAGUGGGGAAUUUUCCGCAAUGGGCGCAAGCCUGACGGAGCAAUACCGCGUGGGGGAGGAAGGUCUGUGGAUUGUAAACCCCUUUUCUCAGGGAAGAAGCUCUGACGGUACCUGAGGAAUCAGCAUCGGCUAACUCCGUGCCAGCAGCCGCGGUAAUACGGAGGAUGCAAGCGUUAUCCGGAAUUAUUGGGCGUAAAGCGUCCGCAGGCGGCUAGAUAAGUCUGCUUUCAAAGAGUGGGGCUCAACCCCAUAAAGGGAGUGGAAACUGUUUAGCUAGAGUAUGGUAGGGGCAGAGGGAAUUCCCAGUGUAGCGGUGAAAUGCGUAGAUAUUGGGAAGAACACCAGUGGCGAAAGCGCUCUGCUGGACCGAGACUGACGCUGAGGGACGAAAGCUAGGGGAGCGAAAGGGAUUAGAUACCCCCUGUUAGUCCACGCGUUUACUCCACCCCGUUCCGGG
RNAcentral lists this ribosomal RNA (701 nucleotides) under Geitlerinema sp. NR8(2012). RNAcentral's name for it is "bacterial SSU rRNA". It matches the Rfam family "Bacterial small subunit ribosomal RNA", at positions 94 to 822 of the family's 1533-position model. The record is from RNAcentral. Lineage: Bacteria; Bacillati; Cyanobacteriota; Cyanophyceae; Geitlerinematales; Geitlerinemataceae.